AUUGAACGCUGGCGGCAUGCCUUACACAUGCAAGUCGAACGGCAGCACGGGAGCAAUCCUGGUGGCGAGUGGCGAACGGGUGAGUAAUAUAUCGGAACGUGCCCAGUCGUGGGGAUAACGUAGCGAAAGCUACGCUAAUACCGCAUACGAUCUAUGGAUGAAAGCGGGGGAUCGCAAGACCUCGCGCGAUUGGAGCGGCCGAUAUCAGAUUAGGUAGUUGGUGAGGUAAAGGCUCACCAAGCCGACGAUCUGUAGCUGGUCUGAGAGGACGACCAGCCACACUGGGACUGAGACACGGCCCAGACUCCUACGGGAGGCAGCAGUGGGGGAAUUUUUGGACAAUGGGCGCAAGCCUGAUCCAGCAAUGCCGCGUGCAGGAUGAAGGCCUUCGGUGUAACUGCUUUGUACGGUACG
RNAcentral lists this ribosomal RNA (414 nucleotides) under uncultured bacterium. Its description in RNAcentral is "bacterial SSU rRNA". It matches the Rfam family "Bacterial small subunit ribosomal RNA", at positions 30 to 446 of the family's 1533-position model. The record is from RNAcentral.